Molecule: ribosomal RNA, 432 nt
Filed under: uncultured bacterium
Lineage: Bacteria
Description: bacterial SSU rRNA
Rfam family: Bacterial small subunit ribosomal RNA
Source: RNAcentral
AACGCGAAGAACCUUACCUGGGCUUGACAUGCAGGGUGAAACCGUGGAAACACGGUGCUCUACGGAGCCUGCACAGGUGGUGCAUGGCUGUCGUCAGCUCGUGCCGUGAGGUGUUGCCUUAAGUGGCGCAACGAGCGCAACCCUUGUCCUUAGUUGCCAGCGGGUAGAGCCGGGAACUCUAGGGAGACUGCCGGUGCCAAACCGGAGGAAGGUGGGGAUGACGUCAAGUCAUCAUGCCCCUUAUGUCCAGGGCUGCACGCAUGCUACAAUGCGCGGUACAAAGGGUUGCGAUCCCGUAAGGGGGAGCGAAUCCCAGAAGGCCGCGCUCAGUUCGGAUCGGGGUCUGCAACCCGACCCCGUGAAGUCGGAGUCGCUAGUAAUCGCAGAUCAGCAAUGCUGCGGUGAAUACGUUCCCGGGUCUUGUACACACGC